RNAcentral lists this unclassified non-coding RNA (432 nucleotides) under soil metagenome. RNAcentral's name for it is "partial contains 5.8S ribosomal RNA, internal transcribed spacer 2, and large subunit ribosomal RNA". The stretch from base 2 to 119 matches the Rfam family "5.8S ribosomal RNA", at positions 37 to 154 of the family's 154-position model. The record is from RNAcentral.
GUGAAGAACGUAGCGAAAUGCGAUACGUAAUGUGAAUUGCAGAAUUCAGUGAAUCAUCGAAUCUUUGAACGCAUAUUGCGCUCUCUGGUAUUCCGGAGAGCAUGCUUGUUUGAGUAUCAGUAAACACCUCAACUUCCAUAUCUUUUUUGAAAUGGGAGUUGGACUUGAGUGAUCCCAACGCUUUUCCUCACCGAAAAGCGGCGGGUUACUUGAAAUGCAGGUGCAGCUGGACUUUUCUCUGAGCUAUAAGCAUAUCUAUUUAGUCUGCCUAAAAAACAGAUUAUUACCUUUGCUGCAGCUAACAUAAAGGAGAUUAGUUCUUGUGCUGACUGAUGCAGGAUUCACAAAGACAGGCUUCGGCCGACUUUGUAAACUCGAUCUCAAAUCAAGUAAGACUACCCGCUGAACUUAAGCAUAUCAAUAAGCGGAGGA